GUCAAGGCCAAGGCGCCGAUGCAGACCAUCGCGCAAUACGACGAGGAAGUCGUCAAGGGUCUCAAGCUGCCGACGGUGAGUUCGCGCCCGCUUAACAGCGUGGUGCAGACCAUUUCCGAGUAACGGAAAACGCCCACUUGCGGUUGUCCGGGAAAUGGCUAAACCGCACGCAUGCGCAUUGAAGGCUAUGUGAUCGUUUCCGCCGACGGCAUGCUCGCCGAUGUGCACGGCGUCAUGCCUGCUUCGCUGAAGUUCGACGCCGAUCAGAAGUUCUUUGACACUGCGCUGGACGCCGCCGACCUGAUCGUUCACGGCAAAUACUCUUUC
Molecule: unclassified non-coding RNA, 327 nt
Filed under: Hevea brasiliensis (rubber tree)
Lineage: Eukaryota; Viridiplantae; Streptophyta; Magnoliopsida; Malpighiales; Euphorbiaceae
Source: RNAcentral